GAUGAACGCUGGCGGCGUGCCUAAUACAUGCAAGUCGAACGGAAAGGCGCUGCUCUUGUGGGGUGCUCGUGUGGCGAAGGGGGGAGUAACACGUGAGUAACCUCCACUUGACUUUGUGAUAACAUUAGGAAACUGGGGCUAAUAUCGGAUAGGAGCUCUUGAUGCAUGGUGGUGGUUGGAAAGUUUCGGCGGUGGUGGAUGGUCUCGCGGCUUAUCAGCUUGUUGGUCGGGUAGUGGAUUACCAAGGCUUCGACGGCUAGCCGGCCUGAGAGGUGUGCCAGGGACAAGGGGACUAAGGUACGGCCCAGUCGCCAACGGUACGCAGCAGUGGAGAGUAUUGCGGAAUAGCCGGACGCCUGAGGCGACGACGUUGCGUGCGGGAUGACGGCCUACUGGUUAUAAACAGAUGUCGCCUGAAACGAAGAGUGAGUGACGGUAAUGGAUAAAGAAGCACCGGCUAACUACGUG
RNAcentral lists this ribosomal RNA (468 nucleotides) under uncultured bacterium. RNAcentral describes it as "partial 16S ribosomal RNA". It matches the Rfam family "Bacterial small subunit ribosomal RNA", at positions 28 to 507 of the family's 1533-position model. The record is from RNAcentral.